This 77-nucleotide transfer RNA is filed under the name Nitrospinota bacterium. RNAcentral's name for it is "tRNA-Arg". It matches the Rfam family "tRNA". From Rfam's summary of the family: Transfer RNA (tRNA) molecules are approximately 80 nucleotides in length. The record is from RNAcentral. Lineage: Bacteria; Pseudomonadati; Nitrospinota.
GCGCCCGUAGCUCAGCUGGAUAGAGCAACGGACUUCUAAUCCGUAGGUCGCAAGUUCAAGUCUUGCCGGGCGCGCCA